Molecule: long non-coding RNA, 603 nt
Filed under: Carica papaya (papaya)
Lineage: Eukaryota; Viridiplantae; Streptophyta; Magnoliopsida; Brassicales; Caricaceae
Description: long non-coding RNA (CPAP_LNC012509)
Source: RNAcentral
AAUUGAAUUACAUGCAAGAGAGAAAUUUUUUACCUCGUUUGGUGAUCGAAAAUUGCUCCGGUACGGCGGCAGGUGGCAGCAAUCAGCUCCUUGAUGGCUGGGCUGUCUUCUUCGGCGAGGGGCUCUAACGGCUAGGGUUUGGGCUUGGGUACGGAUGGGGUUAUUUAUACUCAUCCACUUUUGAUCUAGACCAUCCAUCGCUUUUAAUCUGGACCGUCCGAUCGUGAUUAAAUAGGGAGUGAAUCUAGGCCGUUCAUCGCGAUUAAAUAAUGAGUGAAGCUAGACCGUUCAUCGCGAUUAAAUAGAAAAUGAAUCUGGAUCGUUCAUCGCGAUUCAAUCUGGGCCGUACGUGUACGAUGCAAUCUUGGCCGUCCAUGCGCGCUGCAAUCUAGGCCGUCCAUGCGCACAUGAACGGAUCACAGCCGUUCGAUCGCGCGCAUGCAGAUGGCCCACGUGGCUCCCCCCGCAUGGCCUGCCGCGUCAGCACCUCUGCCGCCUGGCGCGUCCUAGUUAGUCAGGGCUGCUGACCGGGCAGCUGACGUGGCGUAACUUUUUUAAAUUGCGUUUUGACUUCUAGUUUUCGAUUUUUCUUUGAAAAAUACU